AAACCUGCCUCAUAGACUGGGACAACUAUUGGAAACGAUAGCUAAUACCGGAUAACAGCAUUAACUGCAUGGUUGAUGUUUAAAAGUUGGUUAUGCUGACACUAUGAGAUGGCUUUGCGGUGCAUUAGCUAGUUGGUGGGGUAAAGGCCUACCAAGGCGACGAUGCAUAGCCGACCUGAGAGGGUGAUCGGCCACACUGGGACUGAGACACGGCCCAG
Molecule: ribosomal RNA, 218 nt
Filed under: uncultured bacterium
Lineage: Bacteria
Description: partial 16S ribosomal RNA
Rfam family: Bacterial small subunit ribosomal RNA
Source: RNAcentral